Molecule: ribosomal RNA, 253 nt
Filed under: uncultured bacterium
Lineage: Bacteria
Description: partial 16S ribosomal RNA
Rfam family: Bacterial small subunit ribosomal RNA
Source: RNAcentral
UACAGAGGUCCCGAGCGUUGUUCGGAUUCACUGGGCGUAAAGGGUGCGUAGGUGGCAUAGAAAGUUUGAUGUGAAAGCUCAGGGCUUAACCCUGAAAUGGCAUUGAAUACUGCUGUGCUGGAGGUUUGGAGGGGGGACUGGAAUUCUUGGUGUAGCAGUGAAAUGCGUAGAUAUCAGGAAGAACACCUAUGGCGAAGGCAGCACUCUGGGACGGUACUGACGCUGAGACGCGAAAGCGUGGGGAGCGAACAGG